AUUGAACGCUGGCGGAAUGCUUUACACAUGCAAGUCGAACGGUAGAGGGGGCAACCCCUCGAGAGUGGCGAACGGGUGAGUAAUAUAUCGGAACGUGCCCAGUCGUGGGGGAUAACGUAGCGAAAGUUACGCUAAUACCGCAUACGAUCUAAGGAUGAAAGCGGGGGAUCGCAAGACCUCGCGCGAUUGGAGCGGCCGAUAUCAGAUUAGGUAGGUGGUGGGGUAAAGGCUCACCAAGCCAACGAUCUGUAGCUGGUCUGAGAGGACGACCAGCCACACUGGAAGUGAGACACGGUCCAGACUCCUACGGGAGGCAGCAGUGGGGAAUUUUGGACAAUGGGCGCAAGCCUGAUCCAGCCAUUCCGCGUGCAGUAUGAAGGCCCUCGGGUUGUAAACUGCUUUUGUACGGAACGAAAAGGUCUCUCUUAAUACGGGGGGCUCAUGACGGUACCGUAAGAAUAAGCACCGGCUAACUACGUGCCAGCCGCCGCGGUAA
Molecule: ribosomal RNA, 496 nt
Filed under: uncultured bacterium
Lineage: Bacteria
Description: partial 16S ribosomal RNA
Rfam family: Bacterial small subunit ribosomal RNA
Source: RNAcentral